Small nucleolar RNA from Sorex araneus (European shrew), 124 nucleotides. The record is from Ensembl. NCBI's taxonomy places the organism in Eukaryota, Metazoa, Chordata, Mammalia, Eulipotyphla, Soricidae.
GGAGUAUUCUCAGAGAAGAGGUCUGAAAUGUUUCCUUUAUUCACGACAAACCCAACAUAAUCUGAGUUCAUUGACAAGGGGCACAAAACUUGUGGCCAUCAUAUGAAAAACUACCCCUACACGU